Molecule: long non-coding RNA, 985 nt
Filed under: Musa acuminata (dwarf banana)
Lineage: Eukaryota; Viridiplantae; Streptophyta; Magnoliopsida; Zingiberales; Musaceae
Description: long non-coding RNA (MACU_LNC005453)
Source: RNAcentral
UCAUAAGGAAAAGGGCAAAAGAUCUGCAAUGUUGAAGAUAAUGAUUGUCUUGGAAUAUCGAUACCUUAUGGAGUAUGUGAUAUAUAUGCUUUCAGGGAUUGUUUCUGUGAGUCAAGAGGUGUGAUGUUUCAGCAUUCAAGGUCUGUUAUUUUUGUGGGCCAAGAACAGGCACUGUUGCCCUCUCACAGAUGUUUUAGUUUUGGCUAAAGCUUAAUUGAAUACUGGUAGACUUUAUCUUUUCUUGUUGCAAUAUGAUGGAGAUUGAUGGAUUUUGCUGGAUUGCUGGUUUUGAUUGCAGGUGGAAAGAAAAGCAUCUGGAAAUCUGAUAGUUGGAAAUGUUCUCUUCUAGUGGAUCACUCCCCCAAACCUCAGGUUUGAUGCAGAACUCUUCUCAAGGCCAUUUUGUAAUGGUCACUUGAAAAGUUGCUUCUACUUCCUUUUUGUAAUGGUCACUUGAAAAGUCUCUAUCUGCAAUCAUUUCGCGAAAUGUUUGAUUCUCAUACUAGGAAAAGGGACAUUUUCUCUUGACCAAUCAUCUCAUGCACAUGGCCUAGACAAUAACAUGUGAUGACAUGGGCAGCAUGGUUCCAUGACAAAAUCAAAUAUUGUGUGUAGUGCAAAUAUGGUGUAUAGGAUUUUGUUUUCACUUUUAGAUUAUCUUGAAGAAAGAGCGUACUGCAUUGGAUAUAUUUUCAUAUGCUUUCAUCUCUUAGUAAUGGAAUUGAAUUAUUUUAUACUAGAAUAAGACCAUUUAGAUUGUCCUUACUGUCAAAAUUGAUCCAAGCCUUAAGGUUGAGGUCAGUCCAUUUCUGGUAGAUCAUUGCAUUUUGAGAAUCAGAUCUUUAAGGAGGUGGAUAUUCUUUCACGGUGAUUUUUCUUAAGAUGGGUCUUGUAAAUCGAAGGGUCACUUGUAAAACUAGUGUCGAGAGUGAAUUCGGUAUGGUUACUCCAACACUCAAAUUAAUUUAAGAUAUUACACGAGAAU